AGAGUCAGAAAGGUUAGAGACUGAUCCAGAGUCAGAAAGAGGUCAGAGACUGAUCCAGAAUCAGAAAGAGGUUAGAGACUGAUCCAGAGUCAGAAAGGUUAGAGACUGAUCCAGAGUCAGAAAGAGGUCAGAGACUGAUCCAGAGUCAGAAAGAGCUCAGAGACUGAUCCAGAGUCAGAAAGAGGUCAGAGACUGAUCCAGAGUCAGAAAGGUCAGAGACUGAUCCAGAAUCAGAAGGAGGUCAGAGACUGAUCCAGAGUCAGAAAGAGGUCAGAGACUAAUCCAGAGUCAGAAAGAGGUCAGAGACUGAUCCAGAGUCAGAAAGGUCAGAGACU
This is a long non-coding RNA of Pleuronectes platessa (European plaice), 335 nucleotides long. RefSeq lists it as uncharacterized. The record is from RefSeq and is a predicted model, not a curated record. Lineage: Eukaryota; Metazoa; Chordata; Actinopteri; Pleuronectiformes; Pleuronectidae. The transcript has 2 exons.